RNAcentral lists this unclassified non-coding RNA (154 nucleotides) under uncultured fungus. RNAcentral's name for it is "sequence contains ITS1, 5.8S rRNA gene". The record is from RNAcentral. Lineage: Eukaryota; Fungi.
AUUACGAAAGCAAUAGCCCCUUCGGGGGUUAUCGCAUCCACCCUUUGUCUACGUGUACCUCUGUUGUUUCCUCGGCGGGCUUGCCCGCCGCUAGGAACCCCUUAAACUCUUGUAUUUACAGUAUUAAAAUCUCUGAUAACUAUUUAAAUUAUUA